GAAAACUCCAAAAAGAUAGUCAAGUGCACUCAAUUUACUAGCAAUUGGUUCCACAUAAGUGGAUCUCUUAAAUAGAUUAGCAAGUGGAUGAGGAUCCAUAUCACUAGAUUUUCAGCAAGCAAAGAUGCAAGCAUAUUGAAGGCACAUAGCACACAAGCAAAAGGCAAACGAGAGAAAAGGGCAAAUGAAAAGGCGAAAGGAAAACAAAAAAGGAAAA
RNAcentral lists this long non-coding RNA (217 nucleotides) under Hordeum vulgare. Its description in RNAcentral is "long non-coding RNA (HVUL_LNC010475)". The record is from RNAcentral. Lineage: Eukaryota; Viridiplantae; Streptophyta; Magnoliopsida; Poales; Poaceae.